This is a long non-coding RNA of Oncorhynchus tshawytscha (Chinook salmon), 505 nucleotides long. Lineage: Eukaryota; Metazoa; Chordata; Actinopteri; Salmoniformes; Salmonidae. The record is from Ensembl.
CAACAUCACAGCCAGCGGAAAUAAAAAUAAUUAGCAGCUGGAGUGCCAGUGGAGUGUAUCAUCCAGUUUUCUGAAAUUAUUAAUGACACAUAAUGCCUUUUUUUUGUUGCGUAGUUUGUGUUUGAGGAUACGAGCGAUUCCACUGACCGCAUUGGAGCGCACUGGUGGAAGACCCACGUAGUUUCCAGAACCUGCACUCCCAACUUCGUAUCAUCUGACCUUCAGAGCGUUAGCUGAUCAUGCAUUGUGCGCCAUAGUUUGCACUUUGGAAAUCGAUUUCACGGUCAUUCAGCUCCAGCGUUCACGGACUGCUGGAUAAAAAGCUGCAGUACACCAACUACCCCUGGAAGAUUAAGUUCACGGCUACUUGGAUUAGUGUCUACAUGGAAGUGGUGGUGACAGGGUUAAUUUACUACAGAAAGCUGUUAAAAAUGGGAGCAGAUACUGUAUUUAAGAUUUGAAAGAUCUCUGCAGAAAGAAUGAGAUGUGGUCCGGCCAGGGUGGA